This 553-nucleotide unclassified non-coding RNA is filed under the name Hevea brasiliensis (rubber tree). The record is from RNAcentral. Lineage: Eukaryota; Viridiplantae; Streptophyta; Magnoliopsida; Malpighiales; Euphorbiaceae.
CUUCUUUAUACUUCAUUGAUCUUGAGCAUUUGCCUAGCCUACAAUGUUUUUAUUCAGGAAGUGACGUUUUGGAAUGUCCGUCCUUGGAAGAUAUAUCUGCAGUUGACUGUCCAAAGAUGAAGAUACUUGCUUCCACAUUUUCAAGAGAACAAGAUUCAAGCAUGAAUGUAGAGGAAAACAAAGAAAGAAUUUGCGAAGGAGAUUCUGAUUUGCCUGCACCACACGUUUUCAAUGGCAAGGUUGCAGUCCAAAGGUUACACACACUGAGGGUGGCAUGGAGCGAGUUGAUGGAGAUAUGGUGUCACAAAUUUCAAUCUAAGUCCUUUCAUAAGCUUGGUUACAUUAAGCUGACGUGCUUUCCUGGCGAAAGUGCAAUUUUAUCAUCUGAUUUUUUUCAAAGGUUACCCAAUCUAAGGGCACUUGCUCUUUCUGAUUCUUUAAUUGAAGAAAUAUUCCUGCACCAAGUGAGAACUGAUGAGCAUAGAUAUCUUGCGUUCCUAAAGCUUUCUAAACUACCAAAGCUCAAGCACUUGGCGGAGAAUGACUACUCGCA